CGGCGGACGGGUGAGUAACGCGUGGGUAACCUGCCUUAUACAGGGGGAUAACAGUUAGAAAUGACUGCUAAUACCGCAUAAGCGCACAGUACCGCAUGGUACAGUGUGAAAAACUCCGGUGGUAUAAGAUGGACCCGCGUCUGAUUAGCCAGUUGGCGGGGUAACGGCUCACCAAAGCGACGAUCAGUAGCCGACCUGAGAGGGUGACCGGCCACAUUGGGACUAAGACACGGCCCAAACUCCUACGGAAGGCAGCAG
Molecule: ribosomal RNA, 258 nt
Filed under: uncultured bacterium
Lineage: Bacteria
Description: partial 16S ribosomal RNA
Rfam family: Bacterial small subunit ribosomal RNA
Source: RNAcentral